UCGAGAAUCUUCGGCAAUGGGCGAAAGCCUGACCGAGCGACGCCGCGUGGGGGACGAAGGCCUUCGGGUUGUAAACCCCUGUCGAGAGGGAGGAAGAUGCCGUGCAGAACGGUGUUUGACCGAUCUCUGGAGGAAGCACGGGCUAAGUUCGUGCCAGCAGCCGCGGUAAGACGAACCGUGCUAACGUUAUUCGGAAUCACUGGGCUUAAAGCGCGUGUAGGCGGCCCGGCACGUCAGUCGCUGAAAUCCCCCGGCUCAACCGGGGAACUGGCGUUGAUACGACCGGGCUGGAGGGGGGUAGGGGGGACGGGAACUUACGGUGGAGCGGUGAAAUGCGUUGAGAUCGUAAGGAACGCCCGCGGCGAAAGCGCGUCCCUGGACCCCACCUGACGCUGAGACGCGAAAGCCAGGGGAGCGAACGGGAUUAGAUACCCCCGUAGUCC
RNAcentral lists this ribosomal RNA (443 nucleotides) under uncultured bacterium. RNAcentral's name for it is "bacterial SSU rRNA". It matches the Rfam family "Bacterial small subunit ribosomal RNA", at positions 355 to 796 of the family's 1533-position model. The record is from RNAcentral.